Molecule: ribosomal RNA, 381 nt
Filed under: uncultured eukaryote
Lineage: Eukaryota
Description: partial 18S ribosomal RNA
Rfam family: Eukaryotic small subunit ribosomal RNA
Source: RNAcentral
CAAUAGCGUAUAUUAAAGUUGUUGCGGUAAAAAAGCUCGUAGUUGGAUUUCUACCGAAGAUAGCCGGUCGGGUCUUCGACCUUGUAUCUGGUUUUGUCUUUGGUAUCCUCAUAGAGAACGUUUCUGCGCUUUAUUGCGUGGUGCGGUAUCUAUGACUUUUACUUUGAGGAAAUUAGAGUGUUCACGGCAGGCAAACGCCUUGAAUAUAUUAGCAUGGAAUAAUAACAUAGGAUCUUCGUCCUAUUUUGUUGGUUUCUAGGGCUAAGAUAAUGAUUAAUAGGGAUAAUUGGGGGCAUCUGUAUCAACGCGUCAGAGGUGGAAUUCUUGGAUUGCGUUGCGACAAACUACUGCGAAAGCAUUUGCCAAGGAUGUUUUCAUUGA